GCAGUCGAGCGGUAAGGCCUUUCGGGGUACACGAGCGGCGAACGGGUGAGUAACACGUGGGUGAUCUGCCCUGCACUUCGGGAUAAGCCUGGGAAACUGGGUCUAAUACCGGAUAUGACCUCCUAUCGCAUGGUGGGUGGUGGAAAGAUUUAUCGGUGCAGGAUGGGCCCGCGGCCUAUCAGCUUGUUGGUGGGGUAAUGGCCUACCAAGGCGACGACGGGUAGCCGACCUGAGAGGGUGACCGGCCACACUGGGACUGAGACACGGCCCAGACUCCUACGGGAGGCAGCAGUGGGGAAUAUUGCACAAUGGGCGAAAGCCUGAUGCAGCGACGCCGCGUGAGGGACGACGGCCUUCGGGUUGUAAACCUCUUUCAGCAGGGACGAAGCGCAAGUGACGGUACCUGCAGAAGAAGCACCGGCUAACUACGUGCCAGCAGCCGCGGUAAUACGUAGGGUGCAAGCGUUGUCCGGAAUUACUGGGCGUAAAGAGUUCGUAGGCGGUUUGUCACGUCGUUUGUGAAAACUCACAGCUCAACUGUGAGCCUGCAGGCGAUACGGGCAGACUUGAGUACUGCAGGGGAGACUGGAAUUCCUGGUGUAGCGGUGAAAUGCGCAGAUAUCAGGAGGAACACCGGUGGCGAAGGCGGGUCUCUGGGCAGUAACUGACGCUGAGGAACGAAAGCGUGGGUAGCGAAC
This 698-nucleotide ribosomal RNA is filed under the name Rhodococcus sp. (in: high G+C Gram-positive bacteria). RNAcentral describes it as "bacterial SSU rRNA". It matches the Rfam family "Bacterial small subunit ribosomal RNA", at positions 57 to 773 of the family's 1533-position model. The record is from RNAcentral. Lineage: Bacteria; Bacillati; Actinomycetota; Actinomycetes; Mycobacteriales; Nocardiaceae.